UACGAGGGGGGCAAAUGUUGUUCGGAAUCACUGGGCGUAAAGGGAGCGUAGGCGGGCUUCUAAGUUAGAUGUUUAAUCCCGGGGCCCAACCCCGGACAGGCACCUAAAACUGGAAGUCUUGAAUAGUGGAGAGGACGGCGGAAUUGGGGGUGUAGCGGUGGAAUGCGUAGAGAUCCCCAAGAACACCAGUUGCGAAGGCGGCCGUCUGGACACAUAUUGACGCUGAGGCUCGAAGGCAUGGGGAGCAAACAGG
This 253-nucleotide ribosomal RNA is filed under the name uncultured bacterium. Its description in RNAcentral is "partial 16S ribosomal RNA". It matches the Rfam family "Bacterial small subunit ribosomal RNA", at positions 524 to 776 of the family's 1533-position model. The record is from RNAcentral.